AGGGCAUACGGUGGAUGCCUAGGCGCCAGGAGCCGAAGAAGGACGCGGUAAGCUGCGAAAAGCCACGGGGAACUGCAAGCGAGUAUUGAUCCGUGGAUAUCCGAAUGGGGAAACCCGGCCAUCGUAAUGGAUGGUCAUCCGCAAGGAAGGGAACCCGGGGAACUGAAACAUCUAAGUACCCGGAGGAAAAGAAAUCAAACGAGAUGCCCACAGUAGCGGCGAGCGAAGAGGGCAGAGCCCAAACCUGUAAGCUACGGCUUAUGGGGGUUGAGGACUGACGUAAUUAAGGCCAGGCUUAGCUGAACUACCUGGGAAGGUAGGCGAUAGAAGGUAAGAGCCCUGUAAGCGAAAGGCAGAGCCUUAAGGUCAGUAUCCAGAGUACCACGGAGCACGAGGAAUUCUGUGGGAAGCAGGGGGGACCACCCUCCAAGGCUAAAGACUAACUGGCGACCGAUAGCGCAUAGUACCGUGAGGGAAAGGUGAAAAGAACCCCGGGAGGGGAGUGAAAUAGUACCUGAAACCGUAUGUCUACAAGCAGUCGGAGCGAAAGCGACGGCGUGCCUAUUGAAGAAUGAACCAACGAGUUAUCUGCACUAGCGAGGUUAAGUGGAAGACACGGAGCCGUAGCGAAAGCGAGUCUGAAAAGGGCGGCGAGUUAGUGUAGGUAGACCCGAAACCGCAGUGAUCUACCCAUGUCCAGGUUGAAGCGCAGGUAAAAAUGCGUGGAGGACCGAACCGGUGAGCGUUGAAAAGCUUUCGGAUGAGAUGUGGGUAGGGGUGAAAUUCCAAUCGAACGCGGAGAUAGCUGGUUCUCCCCGAAAUAGCUUUAGGGCUAGCCUCAGGUAGUAAGUAUAGGCGGUAGAGCACUGAUCGGGCUAGGGGCCAUAAAGGUUACCGAACCCUGUCAAACUCCGAAUGGAUAUACUGCAGAGCCUGGGAGUCAGACUACGAGUGAUAAGAUCCGUGGUCAAAAGGGAAACAGCCCAGACCACCGGCUAAGGUCCCAAAUGCCGUACUAAGUGGAAAAGGAUGUGGGGAUUCAUAAACAACCAGGAUGUUGGCUCAGAAGCAGCCACCAUUUAAAGAGUGCGUAAUAGCUCACUGGUCGAGAGUCCCUGCGCCGAAAAUUUCCGGGGCUAAAGUACGGAACCGAAGCCGUGGCUGUGCAUGUAAGUGCACGGGGUAGGGGAGCGUUGCCACAGGGGUGAAGCUGGUCUGGAAGGACUGGUGGACUUGUGGGAAGUGAGAAUGUUGGUAUGAGUAGCGAAAAGAAAGGUGAGAAUCCUUUCCACCGAAAGCAUAAGGAUUCCUGAGCAACGAUCGUCGUCUCAGGGUAAGUCGGGACCUAAUCCGAGGCAAAGAGCGUAGGAGAUGGACAACAGGUUGAUAUUCCUGUACCGGCAGCAAUUGUUUGAGCGAAGGAGUGACACAGAAGGGCAGGCAGGCGCGAGACUGGAUUGUCGCGUGCAAGCGUGUAGGGUAGUGUACAGGCAAAUCCGUACACUGAGAGCCUGAGGCGUUACGCGGAGCGAGCAGAGAUGCGAGCGAAGCUGCUGAUCCCACACUGUCGAGAAAAGCUUCUAGUGAGAGAGCUGCCGCCCGUACCGUAAACCGACACAGGUAUGCGGGGAGAGAAUCCUAAGGUGCGCGGGAGAACCCUCGUUAAGGAACUCGGCAAAAUGUACCCGUAACUUCGGGAUAAGGGUAGCCGUCUUGGUGAAGGAGCAUGCCUCUGGAGCUGAAGGCGGUCGCAGAGAAGAGGCCCAAGCGACUGUUUACCACAAACACAGGUGCCUGCUAAAGCGAAAGCUGACGUAUAGGUGCUGACACCUGCCCAGUGCUGGAAGGUUAAGGAAGGAUGUCCGGGCAACCAAAGCAUUCGACCGAAGCCCCAGUGAACGGCGGCCGUAACUAUAACGGUCCUAAGGUAGCGAAAUUCCUUGUCGGGUAAGUUCCGACCCGCACGAAAGGUGUAACGAUUUGGGCACUGUCUCAACGAGGGACCCGGUGAAAUUGAAAUACCUGUGAAGAUGCAGGUUACCCGCGACUGGACAGAAAGACCCCAUGGAGCUUUACUGUAACCUGACAUUGGGUUUUGUUGUAUUACGUACAGGAUAGGUGGGAGGCUUAGAAGGCUGGACGCUAGUCUGGCUGGAGCCGGCGUUGGGAUACCACCCUUGAUACAACGGAAUUCUAACCGAGAGAGUAACGAAAUCCGGGACAGUGUCAGGCGGGCAGUUUGACUGGGGCGGUCGCCUCCGAAAGAGUA
This 2269-nucleotide ribosomal RNA is filed under the name human gut metagenome. Its description in RNAcentral is "bacterial LSU rRNA". It matches the Rfam family "Bacterial large subunit ribosomal RNA", at positions 14 to 2299 of the family's 2925-position model. The record is from RNAcentral.